GACCUGCGGAGGGAUCAUUACACAACAAAAUAUGAAGGCCUGGCUUCGCGGCCGGCUGAAAUAUUUUUUUCACCCAUGUCUUUUGCGCACUUGUUGUUUCCUGGGCGGGUUCGCCCGCCACCAGGACCAAACCAUAAACCUUUUUUUUAUGCAGUUGCAAUCAGCGUCAGUAAAAACAAUGUAAUUAUUACAACUUUCAACAACGGAUCUCUUGGUUCUGGCAUCGAUGAAGAACGCAGCGAAAUGCGAUACGUAGUGUGAAUUGCAGAAUUCAGUGAAUCAUCGAAUCUUUGAACGCACAUUGCGCCCUUUGGUAUUCCAAAGGGCAUGCCUGUUCGAGCGUCAUUUGUACCUUCAAGCUUUGCUUGGUGUUGGGCGUUUUUUGUCUCCCUCUUUCUGGGAGACUCGCCUUAAAACGAUUGGCAGCCGGCCUACUGGUUUCGGAGCGCAGCACAUAUUUUGCGCUUUGUAUCAGGAGAAAAGGACGGUAAUCCAUCAAGACUCUACAUUUUUAACUUUGACCUCGGAUCAGUAGGAGGCCCCGCUGAACUUAAGCAUAUCAAA
RNAcentral lists this ribosomal RNA (564 nucleotides) under Bipolaris sorokiniana. RNAcentral's name for it is "eukaryotic LSU rRNA". The stretch from base 192 to 345 matches the Rfam family "5.8S ribosomal RNA". Lineage: Eukaryota; Fungi; Ascomycota; Dothideomycetes; Pleosporales; Pleosporaceae. The record is from RNAcentral.